AUUGGCUGUGCGCGGUCCCCCCGCCCGCGCCGCCAGCGCCGUUACCAGGGAGACGCUGUCCCGGGCACCGCCAGGCGGUUCUGGCGCCGAAAGAGGCCGCGGCCUGGCCCCAAAGCCAGCUGGAGGAGCGUCUGCACUGCAGAGAAACGCUGCAGCUCUGGACAGCCACCACGUCAAAAACCAGCAGCAAGCACUGGGACUGAAUCAACAGAAGGCACUCCCACCAGCUGGUAUGAAAAUACCUAAAAAUCUUUCAUCUUGUCACCAGGUUUUUUUUCCCUCCAUGAUCUACAAUUGUACUUUUGUGAGAGAACUUACUGUACACUGGUGUUUAUUUGCAGGUUUAUUGCUUUGUUCAUAUAUUUACCUGCUUCAGUGCAAUCCCUCGAGACUAACUAAAUUAAUGCUUCUGUGCAGGUUAUAACACACAGAAAUAAAUUAAACCUUUUUUGUGAAACAA
This is a long non-coding RNA of Neopsephotus bourkii (Bourke's parrot), 460 nucleotides long. RefSeq lists it as uncharacterized. The transcript has 2 exons. NCBI's taxonomy places the organism in Eukaryota, Metazoa, Chordata, Aves, Psittaciformes, Psittacidae. The record is from RefSeq and is a predicted model, not a curated record.